AACGAACGCUGGCGGCAGGCUUAACACAUGCAAGUCGAGCGCCCCGCAAGGGGAGCGGCAGACGGGUGAGUAACGCGUGGGAACGUACCUUUUGGUUCGGAACAACUCCGGGAAACUGGAGCUAAUACCGGAUAAGCCCUAACGGGGAAAGAUUUAUCGCCGAAAGAUCGGCCCGCGUCUGAUUAGCUAGUUGGUGAGGUAACGGCUCACCAAGGCGACGAUCAGUAGCUGGUCUGAGAGGAUGAUCAGCCACACUGGGACUGAGACACGGCCCAGACUCCUACGGGAGGCAGCAGUGGGGAAUAUUGGAUAAUGGGCGCAAGCCUGAUCCAGCCAUGCCGCGUGAGUGAUGAAGGCCUUAGGGUUGUAAAGCUCUUUUGUCCGGGAAGAUAAUGACUGUACCGGAAGAAUAAGCCCCGGCCAACUUCGUG
RNAcentral lists this ribosomal RNA (431 nucleotides) under uncultured bacterium. RNAcentral's name for it is "partial 16S ribosomal RNA". It matches the Rfam family "Bacterial small subunit ribosomal RNA", at positions 29 to 507 of the family's 1533-position model. The record is from RNAcentral.